Molecule: ribosomal RNA, 464 nt
Filed under: uncultured bacterium
Lineage: Bacteria
Description: partial 16S ribosomal RNA
Rfam family: Bacterial small subunit ribosomal RNA
Source: RNAcentral
CCUACGGGUGGCAGCAGUGGGGAAUCUUCCGCAAUGGGCGAAAGCCUGACGGAGCAACGCCGCGUGAUCGACUGAAGGCCUUCGGGUUGUCAAGAUCUGUUGACAGGGACGAAUAAGCAAUGCGAAUAGUUUUGUGUAUGACGGUACCUGUUUAGAAAGCUCCGGCUAACUACGUGCCGUCAGCAGCGUUAAUACGUAGGGAGCAAGCGUUGUCCGGACUUACUGGGCGUAAAGGGCGCGUAGGUGGGUGCUUAAGUCAGGUGUGAAAACUCGGGGCUCAACCGUGAGACUGCACUCGAAACUGGGUGUAUUGAGGGCAGGAGAGGAAAGCGGAAUUCGUAGUGUAGCGGUGAAAUGCGUAGAUAUCAGGAGGAACACCAGUGGCGAAGGCGACUGUCUGGACUGUACCUGACGCUGAGGCGCGAAAGUGUGGGUAGCGAACGGGAUUAGAUACCCCUGUAGUC